AUGAAUAUCUUUAAUAUAGUGAAAUGUUCUGUUUCCCACAAAAAGGCCCUAAGAGAGAUCUACGCCCUUGGCCACCAGAGUCUCCAGUCUUGUCACCCAACCAGAUGUAAGAAAUUUGAAGAAAAAACUGAAGUUACUCAAUUCUCCACGGUCCUCUCUUUGCUCACCUUACAGCUCAGCCUCUCUGAACAGAAGGCUGACGUCAUUCCUGUGGUAUGUGCGUUUCAAUCCUUUUUCCUGUCCUUUUCCAUCUUCACUAAAACAUCCUUCCCUUGGGUUUCUUUCUUUCUCAUUCUCUUGCUCUCAUUCUCAGUCUCCUGUUCACUCUUGCUCUUUCUUCCUAUAAACAACAAUAUAAAUGACCACUUAGCUGUAGCUGCAUAGUGUAUUCUUGGUCUUUAUGGGGACAGCAUGCUCCAUAAUGGAUCGCCUUUGUGGAAAAGUGCAAUCCCUGUAAUUAGGAGCACUUUGACAGAGAACCCAGGCUCUAUAACUCAGGGAAUCACAAGCGUUUCUGCUCUGGCAAAGUUCAGUUUAAUGCAAAAGAAACAUGUGUUUCCUGUCCUUUAUUCUAAAUCGAUUGAGCCAUUCGUCUAAUUUAAACACUCUGUAAAUUACAUACAUCUUCCAAAGAUAGGAGUGAGGUCGACAUACUUGAUAUAUGCUUUUUCAUAUGGCUUGAAUCCAUCACUGCCUUCCACAAGGCCCCUUAGCUUUAUCCUGAGUGGAUGGAGGCCCCAUAAUUCUCUGAUCUACUCCAUUUUCUCUGACACCCCUUAGGAUCCUUGUUCAGACAAUUUGGCCAAAGAAUCACGGCUGACUUUCAGAAGGCAUGGAUUGAAGGCUAACCCGGCCCAGCAUCCCUUCCUAUCUUAUAUUUUAUUAGCACAACAAUCAAACCCUCUUCAAUUUGUCUUCUCAUUCUGUCCAUUAUUAUAAGAGACUUGAUGAGGAAAAAGUCAAGGAAAGUAGAUUGGAUAUGGAUGUUCUGACAUGCAGUUAUGCACCGUUUAGCACAACUGAAUUUUAGAAGAAAAAGAAAAAAAAAAAAAAAAACACCUCUUCUUUCAAUUAUUCAGUUUCACUGGCAUCUGAGCCUUCAAGAAGAGUUAAGACUCUUCCAAAUUCUCUUUGGAUUUUAGCAUCUCCAGCUGCAGGUUCCCUCGACUUCUCAGUUCUUGUUAAGGAAACUGUGGUCUAGCUAUCAUUGAGACUCCCUCUCAUUAUAAAUCAGCGAAAAUUCAUUUCAUUUUAGUUUUUUUUUUUUUAGAGCUGAUCUUUGUUCUCAUGCCCAUCCAUUACACAAUAUAUUAAAAGGAUAUACAAACAGGAAGAGAAAUAAGAGCUCAGAGAAUUCAAGCCCCUUAUUUUGUAAAUACACUGAAAACAGGCAACUGAUAUAUAGAUAGAACUAAAAUUCUUGAAUAUUUGUUCCUUUUCUAGGUGUUAGAAAAUAUAAUAAAAUCACAAAUAAGACAAGCCUAUAAUCA
This 1490-nucleotide long non-coding RNA is filed under the name Sus scrofa (pig). RNAcentral's name for it is "lncRNA (ENSSSCG00040015078.1)". Lineage: Eukaryota; Metazoa; Chordata; Mammalia; Artiodactyla; Suidae. The record is from RNAcentral.